Molecule: long non-coding RNA, 311 nt
Filed under: Mytilus galloprovincialis (Mediterranean mussel)
Lineage: Eukaryota; Metazoa; Mollusca; Bivalvia; Mytilida; Mytilidae
Source: RNAcentral
GACUUAACUUUUAAUUAAUACAGUGAUAUGAUUAGUAUAUAAUAUUAAUAAUAAUAGUUGUUAAAGAGUGAUGAAGAUAUAUGCAUAGAAAGAAGCUGGGUUUGGGCUUUACUUAUUAAUGGAUGUCUAGUGAGUUAACAACAGAUGUAUUUAACCAAUAAUUAGAAAACAAUUUAUUCAAAAAUAAAAUAUUGGGAUGAAGGCCUCAACCUUCCUUCUCAUGUUGGUGGAAGAGGUAUAUGUGGCCAAAAUUAUGUCAUCAGUGUGCUCCGAACAUUAAAAGUAUUUUAUUGAAAAAGAAAAUAUAUAAC